GGCAGUGUGGCACAGGGGUUAAGGAGCAGGGCUCACAACCCAAGGGUUGCUGGUUUGAUUCCCAGGCAGGCCACUGCUG
Megalops atlanticus (tarpon) is the source of this 79-nucleotide non-coding RNA. NCBI's taxonomy places the organism in Eukaryota, Metazoa, Chordata, Actinopteri, Elopiformes, Megalopidae. The record is from the annotation of a GenBank genome assembly.